CGGUGAGCUGGCACAUCUCAAAGCAAAAAAAAGGUUGGUGAAGGAACCAGUUUUCAUCUGAUCGUUGUUGCCGAAAUGUUGAAGAACGUCGACAAUAUUGUCAAACGAAGAAUUCACGCAACGUCGGCUACGGAUACAGGAAUUCCAGAGAUUAUCCCAUAAUCGUGCCUUCACAGCAGAUGCUCGAAAAUCGAAAAUCGAAAUAUUAAUGGAGAGGAGGAUAACGAAACCAGCUACGUCGGUUUAGCUGAUGAGCUAUUUCAGUAGUUGAACCCGAUUCGACCCGAUGAUUGAACCCGUGAACCUAAAGCACGAUUCAUGAUGCACUUAGUGUUGCCUAACGAGUGCGGGAAGGCCAAAAGUUGUUGCUGGUUGCGGACUAAUAUGGAAAAUGUACCUAUUUUUCUCAGUUCCUGGGAGCAUUUGACAUUGUCGAAUUCGCAGAAUCUCGCUGUGAAUGCUGCCUAGGGCUAAUCGGGUAGCUGCAUGCUCAGCUCAAUUCAUCCCACCCCAAGGAGAAGCAUGCCAGCCACAAGUGGUGCUGACUAAAUUUACAUGAAAAGUUUAGGGAUCACAUCAAGGGUGGUGCGCUAGAAUUCUCAAAAUCUCUUUCGCAUCGGGAGCCGCUUGUAUGGCUGCAAAAAUGGCACUGUGUUGCCGUCUCGUCACUUGAAAAGUAAUCUGAUGCAUCUAGUCUAGUGUUCAACUUAAAUGUUUCAAUUUCGAACGAUUCGUUGUUGCGGUGCAUCUGCACAGAUCGAUACCUUCAGUGUUACGGAAACGGAGGAACCCGAACAGGUGUUAGUGGUGGUUGUGCUGGUAAAGGUAGCUUGCUGCCGUUGAUAGUAGUAAUAGACAUGAGAGAACCAAGAGCUGAAGAGCGCUUGCAGAUGUAAAGAAGCGAAUCGACAAUGUGAAUCCAGCGAAAACCAAUAAUCUGCUCUCCCCGGAGCCAUCGUUAGCCGUCCUAGACGUUCUGUAUGAGUAAGUUUCUAUUUUAUUUUAAGUUCUCUUUCGCACCCGAUGAGGGACAUUUGGAGCAUUACCCGAACACACUUUAAAAGCAAAAUAAGCUAUCACGCCCUAAGAGUGAGUGAAAUUUGCUCUCAAUACACAGAAAAAAUUAAAGCAAAAUUUUCGUGUUUGGUAAGCAAAGUGAUGCACCACUGCACCUCAUUUUUCAAAAGAUUUGAGAGCAUAAUGAUGGCAAAUUCUGCUAUAAUUGAAGACUAUGUGAUGCCUUGUAUUGACAUCAUUGUGCUCUCCAAGCUCUCGGAAAACGAGGUGUAGUUCGGGUCUCAUUUUUAGCAAAAUUUGGUAUCACUUUGCUAACCAAGUAUGAAAA
This is a long non-coding RNA of Uranotaenia lowii, 1345 nucleotides long. RefSeq lists it as uncharacterized. NCBI's taxonomy places the organism in Eukaryota, Metazoa, Arthropoda, Insecta, Diptera, Culicidae. The record is from RefSeq and is a predicted model, not a curated record. The transcript has 3 exons.